RNAcentral lists this small nuclear RNA (189 nucleotides) under Dasypus novemcinctus (nine-banded armadillo). RNAcentral describes it as "U2 spliceosomal RNA (ENSDNOG00000026261.1)". It matches the Rfam family "U2 spliceosomal RNA". From Rfam's summary of the family: U2 is a small nuclear RNA (snRNA) component of the spliceosome (involved in pre-mRNA splicing). Complementary binding between U2 snRNA (in an area lying towards the 5' end but 3' to hairpin I) and the branchpoint sequence (BPS) of the intron results the bulging out of an unpaired adenosine, on the BPS, which initiates a nucleophilic attack at the intronic 5' splice site, thus starting the first of two transesterification reactions that mediate splicing. The record is from RNAcentral. Lineage: Eukaryota; Metazoa; Chordata; Mammalia; Cingulata; Dasypodidae.
AUCACUUCUUGACCUUUGGCUAAGAUCAAAUGUAGUAUCUGUUCUUAUCAGUUUAAUAUAUGAUAUGUCCUCUAUUGAGGACAAUAUAAUAAGCAAAUUUGGGGAAAUGGGAGGUAGAACAGGAGCUUGCUCCAUCCACUCCAAGCAUCAACCUGGUAUUGCAGUACUUCCAGAUAUGGUGCAGCAGUA